This 76-nucleotide transfer RNA is filed under the name Cryobacterium sp. TMB1-22. Its description in RNAcentral is "tRNA-Lys". It matches the Rfam family "tRNA". From Rfam's summary of the family: Transfer RNA (tRNA) molecules are approximately 80 nucleotides in length. Lineage: Bacteria; Bacillati; Actinomycetota; Actinomycetes; Micrococcales; Microbacteriaceae. RNAcentral also lists the same sequence under 1 other name. The record is from RNAcentral.
UCAUACCUAGCUCAAUUGGCAGUGCAACUGACUCUUAAUCAGUGGGUUCCCGGUUCAAGUCCGGGGGGGUGCACCA